This 81-nucleotide small RNA is filed under the name Enterococcus casseliflavus. RNAcentral describes it as "RNA anti-toxin A". The record is from RNAcentral. Lineage: Bacteria; Bacillati; Bacillota; Bacilli; Lactobacillales; Enterococcaceae.
UACUAACUAUGUAAAGAGGAGUUGUUGCCACAACCCCUCUGCAGCGCCAUUUAAGACGGCGACAGGUUUUUUAACUUAAAA